UACGGAGGGGGCGAGCGUUAUUCGGAAUUAUUGGGCGUAAAGGGCGCGUAGGCGGCUUGACAAGUCAAAGGUGAAAUCCCUCGGCUCAACUGAGGAACUGCCUUUGAAACUGUCUGGCUUGAGGCCGGGAGGGGGUAGCGGAAUUCCCAGUGUAGCGGUGAAAUGCGUAGAUAUUGGGAGGAACACCAGUGGCGAAGGCGGCUCACUGGCUCGUAUCUGACGCUCAGGCGCGAUAGCGUGGGGAUCAAACAGG
Molecule: ribosomal RNA, 253 nt
Filed under: uncultured bacterium
Lineage: Bacteria
Description: partial 16S ribosomal RNA
Rfam family: Bacterial small subunit ribosomal RNA
Source: RNAcentral